This 484-nucleotide ribosomal RNA is filed under the name uncultured bacterium. Its description in RNAcentral is "partial 16S ribosomal RNA". It matches the Rfam family "Bacterial small subunit ribosomal RNA", at positions 30 to 507 of the family's 1533-position model. The record is from RNAcentral.
AUUGAACGCUGGCGGCAGGCCUAACACAUGCAAGUCGAGCGGAUGAAGGGAGCUUGCUCCUGGAUUCAGCGGCGGACGGGUGAGUAAUGCCUAGGAAUCUGCCUGGUCGUGGGGGAUAACGUCCGUAAACGGGCGCUAAUACCGCAUACGUCCUGAGGGAGAACGUGGGGGAUCUUCGGACCUCACGCUAUCAGAUGAGCCUAGGUCGGAUUAGCUAGUUGGUGGGGUAAAGGCCUACCAAGGCGACGAUCCGUAACUGCUCUGAGAGGAUGAUCAGUCACACUGGAACUGAGACACGGUCCAGACUCCUACGGGAGGCAGCAGUGGGGAAUAUUGGACAAUGGGCGAAAGCCUGAUCCAGCCAUGCCGCGUGUGUGAAGAAGGUCUUCGGAUUGUAAAGCACUUUAAGUUGGGAGGAAGGGCAGUAAGUUAAUACCUUGAUGUUUUGACGUUACCAACAGAAUAAGCACCGGCUAACUUCGUG